AUUGAACGCUGGCGGCAUGCUUUACACAUGCAAGUCGAACGGCAGCACGGGUGCUUGCACCUGGUGGCGAGUGGCGGACGGGUGAGUAAUGCAUCGGAACGUGUCCUGAAGUGGGGGGAUAACGCAUCGAAAGAUGUGCUAAUACCGCAUAUUCUCUGAGGAGGAAAGUAGGGGAUCGAAAGACCUUAUGCUUUUGGAGCGGCCGAUGUCUGAUUAGCUAGUUGGUAGGGUAAUGGCCUACCAAGGCGACGAUCAGUAGCGGGUCUGAGAGGAUGAUCCGCCACACUGGAACUGAGACACGGUCCAGACUCCUACGGGAGGCAGCAGUGGGGAAUUUUGGACAAGUGGGGGCAACCCGUGAUCCAGCCAUUCCGCGUGAGUGAAGAA
Molecule: ribosomal RNA, 387 nt
Filed under: uncultured bacterium
Lineage: Bacteria
Description: bacterial SSU rRNA
Rfam family: Bacterial small subunit ribosomal RNA
Source: RNAcentral